RNAcentral lists this transfer RNA (83 nucleotides) under Canis lupus familiaris (dog). It matches the Rfam family "tRNA". From Rfam's summary of the family: Transfer RNA (tRNA) molecules are approximately 80 nucleotides in length. RNAcentral also lists the same sequence under 1 other name. Lineage: Eukaryota; Metazoa; Chordata; Mammalia; Carnivora; Canidae. The record is from Rfam by way of RNAcentral.
GCCUGGGUGGCUCAGUGGUUGAGCACCUGCCUUUGGCUCAGGUCAUGAUCCCAGGGUCCUGGGAUCAAGUCCCACAUCAGGCU